RNAcentral lists this non-coding RNA (27 nucleotides) under Homo sapiens (human). The record is from RNAcentral. Lineage: Eukaryota; Metazoa; Chordata; Mammalia; Primates; Hominidae.
UAGCUGACAGCACAUGCCACCAGGCCU